GAGAGCUCUUGCUGAGGAGGCAG
This 23-nucleotide non-coding RNA is filed under the name Cricetulus griseus (Chinese hamster). The record is from RNAcentral. Lineage: Eukaryota; Metazoa; Chordata; Mammalia; Rodentia; Cricetidae.